Molecule: long non-coding RNA, 877 nt
Filed under: Homo sapiens (human)
Lineage: Eukaryota; Metazoa; Chordata; Mammalia; Primates; Hominidae
Description: novel transcript
Source: RNAcentral
AGAAGCACUCUAGCUACAGAUUAGAAUGAUGACAAGAGUAAUACCUUCCUAGUGAAGAUGACUUUUAUUUCAGGACUAUAUUAAGUUUCCCAACUUCUGUCAUGAUAUAGUCCAAAGAGAACCUGGACCACGCAGACAUCAAACAGAACAUGACACUGACCCAUUCUAUCAGUGACGUUGUGCUGAUUGCACAGGACAGAUGAGAGGCUCGUAUACUAGAAGUCUUGAUAACUUGUUUUCUAGUUUCACAUGUCCACAGAUGAAGAAAAAUUGUGCCCCAGCAAGGAUUAUACCCAGAGCCUCAUCCAUUCAUACCUGAUUUAGAUACUUAGAUGAUGAGUAAUAGAAAAGCAUCAUCUUUAUGUAAAUCACUGUACUUGGCUUCGUGAGAAAUAUAAAAAUGAAUUGCUUCAAUCCCUGGACUCAAGGAUCCUGUGUUACCAAGUCAUAUGAUACUUCAAAAUCUGUGAUUCCAUGAAGCCAAGAGUAGCUCUUCAACAGGAAAUGAAUGAGUGCUUCAGCUUCUGAUCCCAUUAGUAAGAAAAUACAGUCUUAUGAGCAAUGAUGGAGCUGCAUCUCUUAGGGGCAUUUGAUUCCCAAGAGACCAAAGAGCAAAGAGAAUGUCAAUUUAAAAAAAUCAAAUGUUUCCAUGACUUAGCUAUUUAACUGCUUUAAAAUGAAUGAAUGCUGCUUCAAGUUCUUUCAAAUACCCCACAUCUUGGCAACAACGAAAGGAAUUAACAUGAAGAAAAUUUACAAUCUUUCAUCACAUCGAACAAUGUCCCACAUUUGAAAAGUUCACAGCACAGAUUUCUGGUUACUGAAAGAAAGGAAAGACCUUCUUUGGAUUUGAAUAAACAGAUGGACUUUCUUCUCC